UACGAAGGGGGCUAGCGUUGUUCGGAAUUACUGGGCGUAAAGGGCGCGUAGGCGGACGCGCAAGUCAGGGGUGAAAUCCCGGGGCUCAACCUCGGAAUUGCCUUUGAGACUGCGUAUCUUGAGGGCGGGAGAGGGUCGUGGAAUUCCCAGUGUAGAGGUGAAAUUCGUAGAUAUUGGGAAGAACACCGGUGGCGAAGGCGGCGACCUGGACCGUAUCUGACGCUGAGGCGCGAAAGCGUGGGGAGCAAACAGG
RNAcentral lists this ribosomal RNA (253 nucleotides) under uncultured bacterium. RNAcentral describes it as "partial 16S ribosomal RNA". It matches the Rfam family "Bacterial small subunit ribosomal RNA", at positions 524 to 776 of the family's 1533-position model. The record is from RNAcentral.